Long non-coding RNA from Stegastes partitus (bicolor damselfish), 1001 nucleotides. RefSeq lists it as uncharacterized. Lineage: Eukaryota; Metazoa; Chordata; Actinopteri; Pomacentridae. The record is from RefSeq and is a predicted model, not a curated record. The transcript is spliced from 2 exons.
ACCAUCUGCUGAAGGAAAUAUAUGGAUUUUUAGCUGCUAAUUUUGUCUUUUUUCUAUUUGAAGCUGAGCAGGAGGGUUUUUAAAAACUUUUUGCGUCAAUUCUUGGAAAGCAAUUAGAGUAAAUCUGAAACAGUUAAGUUGAGGAAUGAAAAAUCAAAAUGAGGAGCUCAACGACUAAACGGAGCUGAAGAGAAGUGCAGAAUUAAGCGAUAAUUAUAUGUUUCAGAUCGUCCCUUAUAAAUUAAUUAAUAUUUAUUACAGCAGCUUUUAGAAGCCGAGUAUCAGCAUGAUAAAAGCAAAAUCUACAAGGCGAGCGGGGAAGACGGAUUGCUAUGAAUAAACGGUAAAGGCCAGGUGAUGAGGAAGAAAGGCCCAAAUAUGGAUGGAAAUAACAAAACAAGGGAAAGGUGUGUGAAAAAGUACGACCCAAAGCAGAAUCGAGGGAUCCGGAGGCUGAAAAUCCAACAGCGAGGCAAGCCAUGUCGCAAAGUACAUCUGGAGAUAUUUUUAUAUGUGGAUAGCUUUGUCUCCUAACCGAGAGCCACUCUCCAAUUAAGCUGCAAAUUGCUAAUUAGCAGAACGUAGAAAACGAACACUUUAUGUAAAUCAGGCACUGACUCAGCCUGCUUGACAAAUGAGGCCUUUCUGCAUAAAUCAAAAUUGGAGAGAAGAUCCCCAAAUUGAGGGGAAAACAGUUUUUUCACUUUUUCUUUUUUUUUUCUUUUUUGGAGAGGUUCAAAGCCGACUCUGGUAUAAGCCUCUUUCAUGUUUCCUCAAGUCAAAUCCUUCUGUAUUUUACUGGAGGGGGGGAGGAGAGUGAAGAUGAAAAAGAGAGCAACUGUUUCUUUCUCUUUUUCCCCUCUCCCGCCCUCCCUCUGUCUGGAGACGAGAGUAGCUAUGGUGUUCGUGUCCUUUAACCUAGCCUGAGGAGAAACCCAGGAGAAGUUGAGAUACUUCUUUUAAAAAUAGGGUGAAGAGUGAGAGGAGGAAAAAAAAAAAAA